RNAcentral lists this long non-coding RNA (266 nucleotides) under Lathyrus oleraceus (garden pea). RNAcentral's name for it is "Pisum sativum (pea) long non-coding RNA (PSAT_LNC006652)". The record is from RNAcentral. Lineage: Eukaryota; Viridiplantae; Streptophyta; Magnoliopsida; Fabales; Fabaceae.
AGGACAUCAUCAUCCCCCAAAAAGAUUUCAAAAAUAAUGUGAAUUAGUGUAUAAAUUAAUUGAAAUAAAACAGAAGUCAAAUGAAAAGUCAACCAAGCAAACUAGUUCAAAAAUAAAUCCAAAAUAAAUUGAAAAUGGAAAAUAAAAUCCCAAUAAAAGGUCAAGUUGACCAUGAGAUAUUGGUCAACCCUCAUACCAAAAAUCAGAAGUUAAAAAUAAUUCUAAGUUAUGAAAAUAAAAUAAAUGAAAAUAUGUGUGUUAAAAUG